GUGGGGAAUUUUGGACAAUGGGCGCAAGCCUGAUCCAGCAAUGCCGCGUGCAGGAAGAAGGCCUUCGGGUUGUAAACUGCUUUUGUACGGAACGAAACGGUCCUGGCUAAUAUCCGGGGCUAAUGACGGUACCGUAAGAAUAAGCACCGGCUAACUACGUGCCAGCAGCCGCGGUAAUACGUAGGGUGCGAGCGUUAAUCGGAAUUACUGGGCGUAAAGCGUGCGCAGGCGGUGCUGUAAGACAGGCGUGAAAUCCCCGGGCUCAACCUGGGAAUUGCGCUUGUGACUGCAGUGCUGGAGUGCGGCAGAGGGGGAUGGAAUUCCGCGUGUAGCAGUGAAAUGCGUAGAUAUGCGGAGGAACACCGAUGGCGAAGGCAAUCCCCUGGGCCUGCACUGACGCUCAUGCACGAAAGCGUGGGGAGCAAACAGGAUUAGAUACCCGAGUAGUCC
Molecule: ribosomal RNA, 450 nt
Filed under: uncultured bacterium
Lineage: Bacteria
Description: bacterial SSU rRNA
Rfam family: Bacterial small subunit ribosomal RNA
Source: RNAcentral